RNAcentral lists this ribosomal RNA (195 nucleotides) under uncultured Gammaproteobacteria bacterium. RNAcentral describes it as "partial 16S ribosomal RNA". It matches the Rfam family "Bacterial small subunit ribosomal RNA", at positions 338 to 525 of the family's 1533-position model. The record is from RNAcentral. Lineage: Bacteria; Pseudomonadati; Pseudomonadota; Gammaproteobacteria.
CCUACGGGAGGCAGCAGUCGGGAAUAUUGGACAAUGGGCGCAAGCCUGAUGCAGCCAUGCCACGUGUGUGAAGAAGGCCUUAGGGUUGUAAAGCACUUUCAGGAGUGAAGAAAGGCGUUGGGUGAAUAAUCUGACGUUUUGACGUUAGCUCCAGAAGAAGCACCGGCUAACUCCGUGCCAUCAGCCGCGGUAAUA